This 589-nucleotide ribosomal RNA is filed under the name uncultured bacterium. RNAcentral's name for it is "partial 16S ribosomal RNA". It matches the Rfam family "Bacterial small subunit ribosomal RNA", at positions 355 to 1375 of the family's 1533-position model. The record is from RNAcentral.
UGGGGAAUUUUGGACAAUGGGCGAAAGCCUGAUCCAGCAAUGCCGCGUGUGUGAAGAAGGCCUUCGGGUUGUAAAGCACUUUUGUCCGGAAAGAAAUCCUUGGCUCUAAUACAGUCGGGGGAUGACGGUACCGGAAGAAUAAGCACCGGCUAACUACGUGCCAGCAGCCGCGGUAAUACGUAGGGUGCAAGCGUUAAUCGGAAUUACUGGGCGUAAAGCGUGCGCAGGCGGUUUGCUAAGACCGAUGUGAAAUCCCCGGGCUCAACCUGGGAACUGCAUUGGUGACGUGGCAGGCUAGAGUAUGGCAGAGGGGGGUAGAAUUCCACGUGUAGCAGUGAAAUGCGUAGAGAUGUGGAGGAAUACCGAUGGCGAAGGCAGCCCCCUGGGCCAAAUACUGACGCUCAUGCACGAAAGCGUGGGGAGCAAAACAGGAUUAGAUACCCUGGUAGUCCACGCCCUAAAACGAUGUCAACUAGUUGUUGGGGAUUCAUUUCCUUAGUAACGUAGCUAACGCGUGAAGUUGACCGCCUGGGGAGUACGGUCGCAAGAUUAAAACUCAAAGGAAUUGACGGGGUCAUAGCUGUUUCCU